RNAcentral lists this unclassified non-coding RNA (391 nucleotides) under Hevea brasiliensis (rubber tree). The record is from RNAcentral. Lineage: Eukaryota; Viridiplantae; Streptophyta; Magnoliopsida; Malpighiales; Euphorbiaceae.
UUGACUGAUCUAAUAAAGAACAUGGAUGCUGUUUUUCAUUCCAAACAAGCUGGAUCAGGCAAAUUGAUGCUUAACAGCUUAUAUAGAUGUGUCCCUUUGAUUCUUGAACAGUUGCAGGACUGGGAGGAUGGUUUAAGUGAGAGUGAUGCUGAUGGAUCUUUCUUGCAUGAGAAUUGGAACAAAGAUUUAAGACUUUUUAGUGAUGGGGAAGAUGGUGGACAACAACUCCUUCAGUUGUUUAUAUUGCGGGUGGAAGCUGAGUUGCAAGCUAGUUCUAGUGAUAACCUUGCAUACAACCUGCAGCUUAUAGAUUCUUUGAAGGCACAGGUAAGCUGCUUGUUCGGUGGUUAUACUGUAAAACCAAUUUCAUUUCCCCUGGAAACAAAACAGC